AUUUGUGAUUGCAACAAAUAGGCAGCUAAGUGUGCUGCAUCCUGUUUACAAGCUUUUGCAUCCUCAUUUCCGCGACACGCUGUACAUAAAUGCACUAGCUAGGCAGGUACUCAUUAAUGCUGAAGGAGUACUGGAGGCUACUGUUUUUCCUGGAAAAUAUUCCAUGGAGAUGUCUUCUGCAAUUUACAAAGAUUGGAUUUUCACCGAUCAAGCACUGCCUGAGGAUCUCAAGAAGAGAGGAAUGGCAAUUGAGGAUGAGAAUUCACCCAAUGGUCUUCGCCUGAUGAUAGAAGACUACCCAUUUGCUGUUGAUGGGCUUGAGAUAUG
Molecule: unclassified non-coding RNA, 327 nt
Filed under: Hevea brasiliensis (rubber tree)
Lineage: Eukaryota; Viridiplantae; Streptophyta; Magnoliopsida; Malpighiales; Euphorbiaceae
Source: RNAcentral